This is a long non-coding RNA of Phyllopteryx taeniolatus (common seadragon), 892 nucleotides long. RefSeq lists it as uncharacterized. The record is from RefSeq and is a predicted model, not a curated record. The transcript is spliced from 4 exons. Lineage: Eukaryota; Metazoa; Chordata; Actinopteri; Syngnathiformes; Syngnathidae.
CUUUCACUUUGCAUUUUACUCUUGAGUCACAUGCUGCGAGAGUCAGAAAAAAAGAUGAUUCUGAUUUCACUUUAUGUCAAUCACAAUUGUAAGGGAAGCAGGAAAAUAGGAUACCCUUGCACAAUAUAAUGGAGUCACAUUCCUGGGAUCCUGGCAUCAAAUUGGGUGGGGAGUGCCACCUCACUGGGAUAUUAGCCAACAAGCAAACAUGCUUUGAUGACUUCCAGUGCGCAGCAGUUUAUCUAGGGAGAGUACUCUACAGCCAGCUGCAUUUCCAUCAAUGGGGCCUCUAAUGGGGGCAUGCUUUCCACAUCUGUCACUGCCACCUUGCUGUAUACUCCGGCCUACCCUACAGGCCAUGCUGCUUCUGAUGGCUGAUCGCAACGAUGGUGCGGUUCCGCUCCACACCCUCAAGCACUGCUCCGCCCUGCAGCAAGGUGUCGCCAGCAGCAACAGCCUUUGAUGGUCAGCGUGGACACAGUGCGGGAAAAUCCACUGCCAAGGUUGUCUUGGAGUACAAGUACAUUUUUGCCUUCAUUGCAACCGGGAAAACUGAGAUGACUCAAUUGGGGGCAGGGAGGGUGUUUUUUUCUGAUGGAUUUUCAAGAUAAUGGAAAAACUAACUAGACACAAUUACAGGUGAUUAUGAUAAUUACUGCAGAUCAUAAGCCGAAUAACCAUCAUCAUAGAAGAUUUAAAUAUUGGAUGUCUUCAAUAUUGUGUUUUCCAUAAAUGGGUUUGAAAUUGAGUGAAAAAUAUGUAGCAUUUUUUUAAAAGCUAUAUUCUUCAAUUUGCAAUACAUAGGAUAAACGGAUAAGACCUAGUAUACAUAUGGCGUAGAAGUACUUGUUAGUGACCUGCAGUAUAGAUAAUUAUUUGAGUUUUAUGCACC